Zalophus californianus (California sea lion) is the source of this 629-nucleotide long non-coding RNA. RefSeq lists it as uncharacterized. The record is from RefSeq and is a predicted model, not a curated record. NCBI's taxonomy places the organism in Eukaryota, Metazoa, Chordata, Mammalia, Carnivora, Otariidae. The transcript has 4 exons.
UGUCACAGAAAGUUCAGAUGGAAGCUACCUUCGAGUACAGCUGGAUGUGGCAGCUCAGGUGCCGUGACGAGGGCCCCUUUGCUGCCUGGGCUUCGAAGCAGGGUGUCGUUUUUCCUCAGGGCUUCCAGCAGCUCAUGUUCCUCGUUUGGAUUCAAUCUUCAGAUGAGAGCCCGGGGCUUCCAUCCAGUGGGGCCAGCUGAGCUUGCAUGAUCCCUGAUGACCGGAAGGGAUGGCGUCACUCGGGAACUCGGGGCUGAUGACUUGAAAUCAUGGGGUGAAGUGAGAGACGCCUCGCCGUCUUGACAGUGUGAGAGCCUGUUGCGGGGCACGAACUCCUCCCUGAGUGAACCUGUGUCCCCGCGCACCCGAGCCGCGUCAGGACAGGAUAUCAUCAGCUGGUUUUUCCCUAUUUUCCACCCAUAAAGAGAUGCCUGGCUCUUCCCUACUCAGUGUGGUGCUUGGGGACCGGCUGAUGGCCUUGCUGGGAGCCUGCUUCGGGAGCUUUAAGGAAAUAAUUGCCUUUAGGAUAGACAUCUGGAUGCUUUUAAAAAAUAGCAGCAUUUGGAAGAGCUGAGAGACAAAGUGCCGGGAAGCGGCCUUGAAGAUGUGUGUGCCCGACAUGCUGAAGC